CACGUAUUUAGCCGUCGCUUCUUCUGCAGGUACCGUCACUUGCUUCUUCCCUGCUGAAAGCACUUUACAGCCCGAAAGCCUUCUUCGUGCACACAGAAUUGCUGGAUCAGGGUUGCCCCCAUUGUCCAAUAUUCCCCACUGCUGCCUCCCGUAGGAGUAAGGGCCGUAUCUCAGUCCCCUUGUGGCCGUUCACCCUCUCAGGCCGGCUACCUAUCGUCGCCUUGGUGAGCCGUUACCUCACCAACAAGCUAAUAGGACGCAAAGCUCUCCUGCAGCAUCGCUUUUCAUUGCCUGGCACAUGCGUGCCGGCAACCGUAUCAGGUGUUGUCAGUCGUUUCCGUCUGUUAUCCCUGUCUGCAGGGCUAAGUUCUUACGCGCUACUCACCCGUCCGCCUUGGCUAGCCUGCGCAGCGCAGAUCGCAAAGCUUGCAUGUGUUAAGCUAUUCUGUCAGUCGUUCAUCCUGACGCCAGGACUUACC
RNAcentral lists this ribosomal RNA (479 nucleotides) under uncultured Leptotrichia sp. RNAcentral describes it as "partial 16S ribosomal RNA". Lineage: Bacteria; Fusobacteriati; Fusobacteriota; Fusobacteriia; Fusobacteriales; Leptotrichiaceae. The record is from RNAcentral.